RNAcentral lists this unclassified non-coding RNA (391 nucleotides) under soil metagenome. RNAcentral's name for it is "partial contains 5.8S ribosomal RNA, internal transcribed spacer 2, and large subunit ribosomal RNA". The stretch from base 1 to 122 matches the Rfam family "5.8S ribosomal RNA", at positions 35 to 154 of the family's 154-position model. The record is from RNAcentral.
GAUGAAGAACGUAGCGAAAUGCGAUACUUGGUGUGAAUUGCAGAAUCCCGUGAACCAUCGAGUCCUUGAACGCAAGUUGCGCCCGAAGCCAUUAGGCCGAGGGCACGCCUGCCUGGGCGUCACACGUCGUUGCCCCCCCAUCUACUCCUUCGGGAUUGCGGGGGGCGGAUGAUGGCCUCUCGUGCGCCUCGUCGCGCGGUUGGCCUAAAUGCCAAGUCCUCGGCGACGCACGCCACGACAAUCGGUGGUUGCGAAACCUCGGUUGCCUGUCGUGUGCGGUCGUCGCGCAUCGAGGGCUCGAAAAAAUUGCCGGGCUUCGGCUCGACUUUCAACGCGACCCCAGGUCAGGCGGGGUUACCCGCUGAAUUUAAGCAUAUCAAUAAGCGGAGGA